GUGACUCUAGGUCAGGUGAGAUUACCAGCCGAGUUUAAGCAUAUCAAUAAGUCAAGGAAAAGAAACUUACCAAGAUUCCCCUAGUAACGACAAGUGAACUAGGAAUAGCCCAGCUUGAGAAUUGGGUGCCCUCGUCAUCUGAAUUGUAGUCUAGAAAAGCAUUUUCAAUGAUGAACUAGGCCUAAAUCCCCUAGAAAUAGGUGCCAGAGUAGGUGAGAGCCCCAUUAUUCCUAGACCCUAUAGCACCAUAAGGCAUUGUUUACAAUUCAGGUUGUUUGGGAAUGCAACCCCUAAUCGGGGGAUAAAUUUUGUCCAAGGCUGAAUACGAGUGAGAGACCAAUACUGAACAAGUACUAUGAGGGAAAGAUAAAAAUGACUUUGGAAAGGAGUUAAAGAGUGCUUGAAAUUGUUAUGAGGGAAGCAUAUGGGGGCUGGCGCUAUGCCCUUAUUAGAUGUGAAACUGUAAAAGUUGAUUCGUUAAUCAAUGCAAAAGUGAACUGACGUUAGUCAUAAUGGUUGCCUAAGCUUAGGCUUUUGAUAUGCCUAUAGAGACAUCAUCAUUGCAAUCUUAGAAUGUAGCAUGUGUCAUCUCUGCAUGCCUUAGCAUCGACGUGCUCUCAACGUCGACCUAUGAACUCCCUAUUUGACCCAUCUUGAAAGACAAACCAAAAGGUCUGACAAGUGUACGAGUUAAUGGGCUAGAAAACCCAUAAGGUGCAAAGAAGCUAAUUGGUAGGAUCCCUCAUAGGUGUACUAUUGGCCAACCUUGAUCUUCUGAGAAGGGUGUGACCAUGCCUAUUAGGACCCAAAAGAUGGUGAACCAUGCCUGACCAGGGCAAAGCUAGAGGAAACUCUGGUGGAGUCCCAUAGUGAUAAUGAUGUGCAAAUCAUUCAUUUGACUUGGGUAUAAGGGUGAAAGACUAACUAAAGCAUCUACUACUAGUUCCUUCUAAAGUUUCCCUUAGGAUAGUUGGAGCCUUUAACGAAUUCUAUAUGAUAAAGCCAAUGAUUAGAGGCAUUGAGGGCACAAUGCCGUAAAUCUAUUCUCAAACUUUAAAUAGGUAGGAUCGCAUAACUGCUUCAUUAAGCCACACCAUGGAAUCGAAAGCUCCAAGUAGGCCAUUUUUGGUAAGCAAAACUAGUGAUGUGGGAUGAACCAAAAGCUAGGUUAUGAUGCACAACUGUGCACUAACCUAAAACCCAUAAAAGUGUGUUGGUUGAUUAAGAAAGCAAGAUAGUGGUCAUGGAAGUUAAAAUUAGCUAAAGAGUAUGUAACAACUCGCUGAGUCAACUAGCCCUAAAAAUGGAUAGCCCUUGAGUAUAUAACCUACACCUAACUGUCAAGGCAAGGGCCAAGCCACAGUGAGUAGGAGGGUAUGGCAAUCAUCACAAAACAUGGGACAUGAGCCCAAGCUAAGCUGCCAUCAGUGCAAAUCUUGGUGGUAGUACCAAAUAUUGAAAUGAAAACUUUGAAGGCCAAAGAGGGGAAAGGUUCCAUGUGAAUGACAUUUGCGCAAAGGUCAAUCAAUCCUUAAAGAUAAGGGAAGCUAAUCUGGCAACAAUGUGAGCAUCAAAAGAGAAUCAAGUUAAAAUUCUUAAACUAGGACAUACGGCUAACGUUAACGUUAGAGAAUCUAGAGAUGCUAAUAGAGGCCUCAAAAAGAGUUAUCUUUUCUAUUUAAUAGCUUGACCACCUUGGAAACUGCUUAGCAAGAGGUAGGGUCCAGUGGUUAGAAGAGCACCACACAUCACAUGUUGUUCGAUGCACUCCCAAUGGCCUUUGAAAAUCUAGAGGACCAAGUGCAUCUGUGCCCAUUCAUCUUCAUAACUGCAUCAAGGCCUCCAAGGUUAACAGCCUCUAGUCAAUGGAAUAAUAUAGGCAAAGGAAGUUGGCAAAAUGGAUUCAUAACCUCAGGAAAAGGAUUGGUUUUGAGGGCUAGGCACGGGGUACUAGUCUUGAACUUGUGGAUAUCAAUGCAUUGUUCAAGCUAUUCUCACAGUGAGAGUGGGUCGCCAUAUGCCAUCCAAGGGACAAACUAGGAAUAAAUCCCUUGAAGACCUUCAUUGGGCAAUGAACGGUUGAUUAAGAACUAGUAAAAACAACAGGAAUCCAACUAUUUAAUUAAAACAAAGCAUUCUAAUGGUCCCUGUAGAUGCUCAUGCAAAGUGAUUUUUUGCCUAAUGCUCUAAAUGUCAAAGUGAAGAAAAUCAACCCAUCAUGGUUAAAUAGCAAAAGUAACUAUGACUCUCUUAAGUUAGCUAAAUGCCUCGUCAUCUAAUUAGUGACACACAUCAAUGGAUUAACGGGAUUCCUACUUUCCCUACCUACUAACUAGCAAAACCAUAGCUAAUAGGAAUAGGCUUUGUAGAAUCAGUGGGGAAAGAAGACCCUAUUAACUUAACUCUAGUCUGACUUUGUGAAAUGACUUGAGAGGUGUAGGAUAAGUGGAAGCCUUAGGGAAAAAUUGAAAUACCAUUACUUUUAACGUUAUUUUAAUUAUUUUGUGAAUCAGAGGUGGGGCAUGACCCUUUCUUUUUUACCCAAGGCCAGCCUCGAUUAGUCAAUCAAGGUAGAAGACAUUAUCAGGUGAGAAGUUUGGCUGUGGUAGCAUAUCUAUUAAAAGAUAACACAAAUGUCCUAAGAUGAGUUUAAUAAGAAAAAAAAUCUCAUAUGGAGCAAAAGCGUAAAAGCUCAUUUCAUUUUGAUUUCUAUUACAAAUACAAACUGUGAAAGUAUGGCCUAUUGAUCCUUUAGAUUGCUAGAAUUUGAAGCUAGAGGUGUUAGAAAAGUUACCACAUGAAUAAUUGGCUUAGGUAACCAAGCUUUCAUAGCGACAUUACUUUUUGAUCCUUUGAUGUUGGCUUUUCCUAUCAUUAUGAAGCAUAAUUCACCAAGUGUUGGAUUUUUCACCCACCAAUAGGGAAUGUGAGUUAGGUUUAGACUAUCAUAAGACAAGUUAGUUUUACCCUACUGACGGCAGUAUUGCAAUAUUAAUUCAACCAAGUAUGAGAGGAACCAUUGAUUUGCAUAAUUAAUCAUCAAAUUUGGUUGAAAAGCCAGUGGCACGAAGCUACAUGUGCUAGAUUAUAACUGAAUGCCUCUAAGUCUAAAUCCAAGCUAGAAGUGAUACAUAUGCUUGUUGCCUAAUUGUCAACCUACAGGCCCAUGGCCCCCAAGGGCGCAUGUCAUAGGUGUAACCUCUAAGGCAGACGAGCCACAUAGGCCUCUUUGGAGCUUAAUUCCCAUUAAGCUAUAGGUGAAAUCCUUUGUAAAUGACUUCAAUAUGUGAUAGGGUAUUAUAAGUGGCAAAGUGGACUUGCUGCCAUGAUCCACUAAGAUUCAGCC
This 3346-nucleotide ribosomal RNA is filed under the name Durio zibethinus. RNAcentral describes it as "eukaryotic LSU rRNA". It matches the Rfam family "Eukaryotic large subunit ribosomal RNA". Lineage: Eukaryota; Viridiplantae; Streptophyta; Magnoliopsida; Malvales; Malvaceae. The record is from RNAcentral.